UCCUCGGUAGCUCAACGGUAGAGCAUCCGGCUGUUAACCGGAGGGUUGCAGGUUCGAAUCCCGCCCGGGGAGCCA
RNAcentral lists this transfer RNA (75 nucleotides) under Syntrophaceticus schinkii. Its description in RNAcentral is "tRNA-Asn". It matches the Rfam family "tRNA". Rfam says of the family: Transfer RNA (tRNA) molecules are approximately 80 nucleotides in length. Their secondary structure includes four short double-helical elements and three loops (D, anti-codon, and T loops). Further hydrogen bonds mediate the characteristic L-shaped molecular structure. tRNAs have two regions of fundamental functional importance: the anti-codon, which is responsible for specific mRNA codon recognition, and the 3' end, to which the tRNAs corresponding amino acid is attached (by aminoacyl-tRNA synthetases). tRNAs cope with the degeneracy of the genetic code in two manners: having more than one tRNA (with a specific anti-codon) for a particular amino acid; and 'wobble' base-pairing, i.e. permitting non-standard base-pairing at the 3rd anti-codon position. Lineage: Bacteria; Bacillati; Bacillota; Clostridia; Thermoanaerobacterales; Thermoanaerobacterales Family III. Incertae Sedis. The record is from RNAcentral. RNAcentral also lists the same sequence under 4 other names.